This 429-nucleotide ribosomal RNA is filed under the name Acidobacteriota bacterium. RNAcentral describes it as "Acidobacteria bacterium partial 16S ribosomal RNA". It matches the Rfam family "Bacterial small subunit ribosomal RNA", at positions 355 to 776 of the family's 1533-position model. Lineage: Bacteria; Pseudomonadati; Acidobacteriota. The record is from RNAcentral.
UGGGGAAUUUUGGACAAUGGGGGAAACCCUGAUCCAGCCAUCCCGCGUGUGCGAUGAAUGCCUUCGGGUUGUAAAGCACUUUUGGCAGGAAAGAAACGUCAUGGGUUAAUACCCCGUGAAACUGACGGUACCUGCAGAAUAAGCACCGGCUAACUACGUGCCAGCAGCCGCGGUAAUACGUAGGGUGCAAGCGUUAAUCAGAAUUACUGGGCGUAAAGCGUGCGCAGGCGGUUCGGAAAGAAAGAUGUGAAAUCCCAGAGCUCAACUUUGGAACUGCAUUUUUAACUACCGGGCUAGAGUGUGUCAGAUGGAGGUGGAAUUCCGCGUGUAGCAGUGAAAUGCGUAGAUAUGCGGAGGAACACCGAUGGCGAAGGCAGCCUCCUAGGAUAACACUGACGCUCAUGCACGAAAGCGUGGGGAGCAAACAGG